This 464-nucleotide ribosomal RNA is filed under the name uncultured bacterium. RNAcentral describes it as "bacterial SSU rRNA". It matches the Rfam family "Bacterial small subunit ribosomal RNA", at positions 338 to 795 of the family's 1533-position model. The record is from RNAcentral.
CCUACGGGAGGCACCAGUAGGGAAUCUUCGGCAAUGGACGAAAGUCUGACCGAGCAACGCCGCGUGAGUGAAGAAGGUUUUCGGAUCGUAAAACUCUGUUGUUAGAGAAGAACAAGUACGUUAGUAACUGAACGUCCCCUGACGGUAUCUAACCAGAAAGCCACGGCUAACUACGUGCCAGCAGCCGCGGUAUACGUAGGUGGCAAGCGUUGUCCGGAUUUAUUGGGCGUAAAGCGAGCGCAGGCGGUUUCUUAAGUCUGAUGUGAAAGCCCCCGGCUCAACCGGGGAGGGUCAUUGGAAACUGGGAGACUUGAGUGCAGAAGAGGAGAGUGGAAUUCCAUGUGUAGCGGUGAAAUGCGUAGAUAUAUGGAGGAACACCAGUGGCGAAGGCGGCUCUCUGGUCUGUAACUGACGCUGAGGCUCGAAAGCGUGGGGAGCAAACAGGAUUAGAUACCCGGGUAGUC